UCCCCGGUAGCUCAGUCGGUAGAGCGGUCGGCUGUUAACCGAUUGGUCGCUGGUUCGAAUCCGGCCCGGGGAGC
RNAcentral lists this transfer RNA (74 nucleotides) under bacterium HR30. RNAcentral describes it as "tRNA-Asn". It matches the Rfam family "tRNA". From Rfam's summary of the family: Transfer RNA (tRNA) molecules are approximately 80 nucleotides in length. RNAcentral also lists the same sequence under 1 other name. The record is from RNAcentral.